This 2765-nucleotide long non-coding RNA is filed under the name Nicotiana benthamiana. RNAcentral's name for it is "long non-coding RNA (NBEN_LNC016050)". The record is from RNAcentral. Lineage: Eukaryota; Viridiplantae; Streptophyta; Magnoliopsida; Solanales; Solanaceae.
UCAAACCGCCAAAACUCUAGCUCGCUAUGUCCUUGCCUCUAUGAACGGCCUCCUCGUGCGUCGAAUCUGAUCAAAACUAUAGUGAAUACAUCACAAUAGGCUAAGGGAAUAAAACCCAAGUGAAAACAAUCAAAAAAUAUCAAAAAUUUCGAAAUUACCAAAACUCGAGCGUCGAUCCCACUUCUCGAAUCUCAAAAAAAUUCACAUUAACGGGUUCCUUAUUUCGGCGCGAGUCUAUACAUAUCAAGAGCACCAAAUCGGAGUCCAAAUGACCCCUCAAAUCCCAAUUUUAGAAUCUAAAAAUUCAAGCCCUAGUUCUUCCCUUUUUGGCUAAAUCUUCAUGAAUCUCCCAAUUAAUUUCACAAUAUAAAUGAGUUUUAAGUUCAUAAAUCUUUCCUCCAUCGAUUUCCCUUGAAUCCCUCUUUAAUUUCUUUCAAAAGCUCUCAAAAUUACCAACUAUGGAGUGAAAAUGAGCACACACCCGCGCAAGAGAUGUUUAUAACUCUUCUGUCCAGCACUUAAAAAUCCUUCUUCGCGAAUGCGGUCAAAGCCUCGCGUUUGCGAAGCACAACAAUUCCAUAGACCAUAAUUCACAAACGCGUAGCUUUACCCCAGGCAACCCUACGCGAACGUGACCCCACUCAUACGAACACGAAGAACAAAUUUCACUUCUAAUCCACCUGACCCAAUUCCUCUUAUGCGAACGCGAAUACACCCAUGCAGACGCGAUGUCUUCCCUUUUACAAUCUAUGCUAAUGCGGCCCUAUGGCCGCAAACGCGAAGAGAAAAAGCUGGCCAGCCCAAACUCCUCUUCGCGAACGCGAACAUCCUUGUGCGAACGCGCAACACCAGCUCCCAGAACUAUGCGAACGCGGGCCCCUGGCUGCGAACGCGAAGAACAAACUUAGGCCACCCAAAUUCCUGCUAUGCGAAUGCAAGUUCCUUCUCGUGAUCAUGAAGGCAAAAUAUGAACCUGCACUGCUGCUACAUUUUCUACUAUCUUUUCAAAUUCUAAGCUUCCCGUUAGCCAUCCGAAAUCACCACGAGGUCGGGACCUCAACCAAACAUACCUGCAUAAUCCAUAACGCCAUUCAAACUUAUUUCAAUCAUCAAAAUACCUCCAACAAUAUCAAAUUACUCAAAACUCAUCGAAUCCAAGCCUAAGUUUCCAAAUACAUCUGAAAUACACUUUCAAUCAAAAACUCGACAAAACAACGUACGAAUGAUCUGAAAUUUUGCGCACACAUCCCAAAUGACAUAAUGGAGCUAUUGCAACUCUCAAAAUUCCAUUCCAACUCUCAGAUCAAAAUCUCACCUACCAAUCGGAAUUCGCCAAAAUACUAACUCAUCAAUUCAAGCGAAAUUUCACACCGGAUCUCCAAAAACAAUUCCGAUCACACUCCUAAGUCAAAAAUCAUCUUAAGAAGCUAACCAAAUCAUAAAAAUUCUGAUCCGGGCUCAUAUACAAAUAAGUCAACUUUUGGUCAAACCUUUCAAAUUCCAAGCUUUCAACUAAAACUGUUCUUCUAAAUUCAUUCUGACUUUUCCUGAAAUCAACACCAACGAUCUAUAUCAAUCAUAAUACAUCAUAUGAAGCAAGUCAUGCCCAAAAACUGAAAAUCAAAAUGCAAAAGCUCAAAACGAUCAGUCGGGUCGUUACAUAAAUGCUAUCUCACAAUUAUCAGUUCUUACUACUUCUGCUACCAUCUCAGUGAACAAUCCCCAAAGAGCCAAAUCAACCACAACUAGCAUAUUCAUAUUUAUAUUAAAAAGAAAAAAAUUAACAAUUAUAUAAAUGAUAAACAAACUAUUUAUAGGUUUUUCUCGUUUCAUUUGACGUCCUUUUGACUCUUGUCGCCAAUAGUCAGAACAAGAGCAUGAACUUAGCUUAAAACAGUGAAAGCGACUACGAUCUCUUAUUACAAUUUCUCUAUAAUACACUUUGGAAACAAACUUCAUGGCUGGCAAUCUCGGCAUAUCCUUAAAUUCUUGAAAACAUAAAGAGGCAUGCUAGCCGGUAUGCUUAUGAGCCCAAAACAAAUAGCCAACUUCUCGCAGAUAACUGAAAGCUAUGAAUUAAGCAAAACUCUUUGGCUUUGCUACCUGCUAACUUGUAGCCAUUCAAUUUUUAUACACAUUACACACAACCAUAUCAUAUAGAAUUUCAUACUAAAUUCGAAUUACAACAUAGUAGAAUAGUUGAUAAUAAAAAUUAAACAACGAAAAUAGCAUAGAAUUUCAUAUGCUCAAUACUAUAUCGUAUAGAUUCCAUUGACAGAAAGUGAAAAUUACAUAGUUGAGCGAGUGAGUAAUACCUUGAAACAAAGAAAGGGCAGAAGGAAACAAUAGCAGCUGAUAUAGAGCUAAAUUCCAGCAACAGAAAGCAGUGCUUUAGGCUUGAACGAAACUCAAUAGACACCCAGCGAAAAGUAUUCAAGAUUUAAAGCUUCCAGCAAUCCAUUAGCACUCAAAUCUUUACUAAAUCUCUAUUUUUUCUCUGUUAUUUCAAAACCCCUUUUCUCCAGAUCUGAUUUUCUGAAAUUCAAAAAUUGGUUCUCAGCUGUUUCGUGUGUGUGUAUGUGGUGUAGACGAGGGAGCGAGGAAGAAGAAAGGGUCACGGUGCUGUUGAAGGAGAGUCUGAUUUUUGGUCUGUUUUAGUUGCUUCUCCUUCAAAAAUCAGCUGCGCCGUCUUGGGUGUUUCUAAAAGGGAGUUUUCUAUAUCAGAGAAGGGAGGUAAUCUGAUGGUUUAAUAGGUCUAUGUCUAG